UUCCGUAGGGGGGACCUGCGGAAGGAUCAUUAUUGAAUACUCUUGAUGGGUUGUAGCUGGCUCUUCGGGGCAUGUGCACACUUGUCUUGACUUUAUUCAUCCACCUGUGCACCUUUUGUAGUCUUGUGGGUUGAGAGCAGUCGACUAUCGGAUGGCUAUGGCCUUUCCGGACGUGAGGAAUGCUGAGUGCGAAAGCAUACAGCUCUUCUCAAAUGACUUGCAAAACCUCUYCCUCAAGUACUAUGUAUUCAUAUACCACAUAGUAUGUUGUCGAAUGUGAUCAAUGGGCCUAUGUGCCUAUAAAAAUCAUAUACAACUUUCAGCAACGGAUCUCUUGGCUCUCGCAUCGAUGAAGAACGCAGCGAAAUGCGAUAAGUAAUGUGAAUUGCAGAAUUCAGUGAAUCAUCGAAUCUUUGAACGCACCUUGCGCUCCUUGGUAUUCCGAGGAGCAUGCCUGUUUGAGUGUCAUUAAAUUCUCAACCCCUCCAGCUUUUGCGAGUUGUGAUGGGGCUUGGAUAUGGGAGUUUGCGGGUCUUUAUCAAUAAAGGUCAGCUCUCCUGAAAUGCAUUAGCGGAACCGUUUGCAGUCCCGUCACUAGUGUGAUAAUUAUCUACACUGUGAUGAUUGCUCUCUGACUAGUUCAGCUGCUAAUCGUCCACUAUGGACAAUACUUAAUGAACUUCUGACCUCAAAUCAGGUAGGACUACCCGCUGAACUUAAGCAUAUCAAUAAGCCGGAGGAA
The sequence is a ribosomal RNA, 742 nucleotides long. The stretch from base 315 to 468 matches the Rfam family "5.8S ribosomal RNA".